Molecule: non-coding RNA, 238 nt
Organism: Pelobates cultripes (western spadefoot toad)
Lineage: Eukaryota; Metazoa; Chordata; Amphibia; Anura; Pelobatidae
Source: the annotation of a GenBank genome assembly
AAACAGUUGUGCAUCUGCCCGGUUACUGUACCGGCUUAGCCAAGGCAACAUCACGUCGACCUUCACUGGCGUGGAAGAGGCCGGCGCCCCCGUACCCCCGGCUCCGCCAGCAGGUGUAGACUUUCCCUGCUUGAAGCACAUAUUGAGGUCGUGGGCUCCCCCGCAGCCGGAACAUUCGUGCCGAAAUUUAAACGCAGCACCCCACUUGCAUUACCCUUCAUUGAACGACCAACAGAAC